UGUGAUUACACAAAACAACUCUGU
This 24-nucleotide non-coding RNA is filed under the name Arabidopsis thaliana (thale cress). Lineage: Eukaryota; Viridiplantae; Streptophyta; Magnoliopsida; Brassicales; Brassicaceae. The record is from RNAcentral.